This is a non-coding RNA of Glycine soja, 98 nucleotides long. NCBI's taxonomy places the organism in Eukaryota, Viridiplantae, Streptophyta, Magnoliopsida, Fabales, Fabaceae. The record is from Rfam.
GUUGAGGGGAAUGGUGUCUGGUUCGAGACCAUUCUUCUGAAGCAAAGAUCAUCAUCACCCUUGAGAAUGAUCUCGGACCAGGCUUCAUUCCCCCUAGC